GGAGACGUGCCAGAGUGGUUGAAUGGGCUCGUUUCGAAAACGAGUGUGGCAGCAAUGUCACCAGGGGUUCGAAUCCUCUCGUCUCCG
This 87-nucleotide transfer RNA is filed under the name Candidatus Curtissbacteria bacterium. RNAcentral describes it as "tRNA-Ser". It matches the Rfam family "tRNA". From Rfam's summary of the family: Transfer RNA (tRNA) molecules are approximately 80 nucleotides in length. Their secondary structure includes four short double-helical elements and three loops (D, anti-codon, and T loops). The record is from RNAcentral. Lineage: Bacteria; Candidatus Curtissiibacteriota.